Molecule: long non-coding RNA, 3195 nt
Filed under: Homo sapiens (human)
Lineage: Eukaryota; Metazoa; Chordata; Mammalia; Primates; Hominidae
Description: HSALNT0394498
Source: RNAcentral
UUUUAUUUCACUUACUGUAAAUGUGAGUUAGAGCAAAUAGGCUCCUGAUGGUUAGCUGGGCUGGCUACUUUAGCCUUGCAGGAGGCAGUGUAUUACAAUGGCAGUAGAUGUUUGGGAGUCAGGUGUAUAAUUUUGGCUUCACUACCUACUGGGUGUGAGGCUUAACCUCUCUGAGUUUUAGUUUCCUCUUCUGUACAGUAGGGUUAAUACAUUUUCCCUAGGUCAUUUCUAACUUUUAUAUAAGCUCACAAAUGUAAAACAAAAAACUGUAUGGUAGGAUAUUUCUAGGCAAAUCAAUGUAUGUUAUGGUCCCUCUUGCUUUUCUUUGACUUAAAUGGAAUCAAUCAUUGCAUUGGAUAAGAAGGGAAGCAGUACUGGUUGAGUGAACACUGUGAAUUUGGAGGACGUGUGCUGGACCUCAGCCAUACCUCUAACACAUUGGGUAACCUUGGACACACAACGUGACCUCACAGAACUCCAGUUCCCUCUGUCAUAAUCUGGAAUGAUGAUAUCAAUCAAGUGAAGCAGCUAUCACAGGGUCUGGAACAUAGUACAUCCCAGCCUUCUUGCACAUAGAAACACUACACAGCACUUCAGCUGUAUGUUUGGGGGCCAUUUUAAACAGCAAAAUCAUCAACAGGAAGCAGAAAAUUGUAAAAAUUGUGGCACUAAAUAGACCAUGUAAAGGACACAUGUUUGCAAUAAGAAAGCUGAAACAAGAAGGGGGAGUGUCACCUUAUUUGAUCCAGCUAGAAACUCAGGUGCUGGUAUUCCAGCAACACUCAGGCGGCUGCUCCAGGAGGCUGCAGAGGGGUCCUUUUUAGCCGUCAACAAAACUGGCUAUGGUCACGCCCAUUGGGAAACUCAUUGCUGCCUUCAAGGUUCUGUCAAUAGAAGAUACUAAAGAAAGAAAGCCAGGAGAAGAAAAGGGACUUCUUUCUUCAAGGUCUAAGCUGUUCUAAUAGCAUUAUUCUGGGAAUGGCAUCUUCCACUCCUCCUAGUACAAAGAACCUGCUUCCUCAUACCCCGUCAAGGAACUGCAGCAUCCAGGUGAUGGCCACAGUGGCAGAACCUAGGAAGCCAAGAAGAAACCAGAGAAUGGAGACACAUGGCAGCAAUGGCAAGUCAUCAGACCCAGGAUUUCCCAAAGAACACUGGUCCAGGAAGAUGCUCUGUGAAAAAGUGUUCCCUGGUCGGAGAAAUUUGUGAAACACUUUGCAUAAUACUUAAAAGAAUGUAUGGCACAUCAAAGGUAAUAUGCAAUAAAAGAAUUCAUUUUUUUAAAACCAAGCAUAUGCACAACUUAUUUAACUAUGGAUUCGAUUUUUAGAUUCAUAUUUUUUGACCCACAUUUGUGGAGCCACAUCCAUAGAACAGAUUUGACCAUGCUUAUGGUUAUCAUUAAAAAAUUUUUUUAAAUUCAGAUUGAUUUUGGAAUUGGUUUCCCAUCAUAGUUCAAGUAGAUACUGUCCCAAACAAUCUGAAAUCAAGAAAUUAGCAAAUGGGCUUGUUGUUUGUGGAUUUGAAUGGAUUGAAUUCCUACAGCAUUGAAGAAAGAUAUAUUUUAAAGCCUAUUUUUGGAAAAAUACUCUUAGUUGGGUAUUUCAUUUGAUUUGGUACACAGUAGUCAUAAAUUGCCAUCUUUUUCUGCUGUACUUUAUCCUAAAUAUAUUCCAUGGUAUGUUUUCAUAAUUAACAUGCAAAUAGAUGUAUAGUUUAUAAUUAAUUUCAACUGGGCACAGUGAAAAUCUUGAAAACCUCAGCAUGGAGGCAUCUUUGUUGGUAGAAAUUCAAUGAAAUCCCCAAACAUCUUUGGUUUUGCAAUCCAUAAUUUGCAGAUUAUUAAUACAAUAAAUCCUUGUUGUCUGUGAGAGUUGGCAUCGUACCCAUGAACUCCUGUGUAGAAAGCCUACAAACUAAAAGUCCAAAUGGAAAGAAAAAAUCACGUGGUUUCUGUGUAUGCUCAUUACCUGCUUCUGAAACCAUAAUAUCUCGGCCUUUUAUAGAUCUUAUAACAGUCUCCGCAGGAAGCAGCUGCAGUCAUUAGCCAUAGGACAGACUAAACACACAAUCUGCAUGGAAGGAGGCCUGGAUCAGCUUGGUCUUUCAGAUCUCUAAUCUCAGGCACAGGAAAGCACCAUCAACAGCACCCUUUGUAUAUAUACAUAAAGGUAACAUAUUUUAUCAUUUAAAGGGAUUUGAGAAAUUGAAGAGGCCCAACUCUUUUUCUGCCUUCUUUGGUUUGAGGCUUAGAUUGCUUAAGGGGCUUGCCCAGGAUCACAUAUCUUGUAAGAGACAGAGCAAGGAUUCAAAGCCAGUGCUGGCUUCUGUGUCUCCAUUCUUUCCAUUCUCCUCCAGUGGCUCUUUUGGGAAGCUGAGGGAGGAACAGCAGCAGAAUUGGGUGGCACCUGCCCAUGCCCAUCAUGCACUGAGCAUCUUCAGGUCUGGCCAUGGACCCCUUAAUUCCUAAUCCAGAAUUCCUCCCAUCACUCUUUGCUGAGAAAAGCACUAAAAUGGAGAUAUUUGUUCCAAAAUCCCAAAUUUUAAUUCCAUAGAGCAAAGUGUCUUUAUUUUUAAAUCAUCCAACUCAUCAUAAAUUCAGCUGGAUUCAUUAGAGUUAAAGAAUUGACAACACCAAACAUUUUGUAACAGAAGUUACUGCUGCUUAAGGAGUUAGGGUUCACCUUUUCCAGAGCUCUUCAGUGCCAACCCAGCACCAAUAUCCCAGCGUCGCUGGAGGGAAUGAUGGCGCCCUGCAUUUCAGAGAAGAUUUAAAACCGAGAUCCUAACUGCUCAUCAUCAUUAAAAAUCUCCAGGCAGUUUUCAUAAGAGCAAGGGGGUGGUUGCCUGAGGUUUUGGCUGACAGUCAACCCAACUAAUUACAUUCUGUCUACUGUGUCCUCCCGCAGUUUCAAUUGGAUAUGUUUUUUUUUUUAUUUCCUGUCCUAAUCUGAAUGUAGGGUUGCUAUGUGUUCUUAAGCAGAUGCUGCUGUUCUUGCUGGUAGAAGAGGCUUUUCAGAUUUGUUUUUUUCCUCACAGAAAGUUUUUGAGACUUUAAAUAAAAUAAUUCUUCUAAAUGUUCCUAAGAUCCUGGCACCAAAUACAUUCUAAAUGCAAUGUGUGCAGCAUGAAGGAAUUGCAAAGAUAGCAAGUAGAUAAAAGACGUACUUCACAGGAGCAUCCAGCCUCCUAUAG